This 292-nucleotide ribosomal RNA is filed under the name uncultured bacterium. RNAcentral's name for it is "partial 16S ribosomal RNA". The record is from RNAcentral.
GGACUACCGGGGUAUCUAAUCCCGUUUGCUCCCCUGGCUUUCGUGUCUCAGCGUCAGCACACCCCCAGCAGUCUGUUUUCACCAUUGGCGUUCCAAGUGAUAUCUACGCAUUUCACCGCUCCACCACUUGUUCCGACUGCCCCUAGGUGGCUCAAGAUCGCCAGUAUACCCAGCCGUUCCCCGGUUGAGCCGGGGGAUUUCACAAGGUACUUAACGACCCGCCUACACACGCUUUAAGCCCAGUGAUUCCGCCUAACGCUUGGCACCUCUGUCUUACCGCGGCUGCUGGCAC